GGGCGGCGGCCACCCGGUUAGGUAGCCGGGCGCCGGGGGCGUGGAGGGCUGCAGAGUGGAGCCCGGGACAGCUGCGAUCCUGCUCGGGUUGCUUUCCUUCCUCCGUCGCCUUCUCCCUUUGCUCUGCGCCGGCCACACGGUGGGACGCCCGCGGCGACAGAAGUCUGGGCGCCCUUGUCUGAAACCUCCUGGCGAGCCUGACAAGCAGCCGCGGAGAGCAAGAUCCAUGUUCACUUAUUCCCUGGUCUAGGAGUGGAAUUUCUGGGACAUACGAUCCUUAUCCAUUAUGUUAUUACAAAUUGAAUAUAUUGAAUAUAGUUCACUGUGCUAUACA
Long non-coding RNA from Phacochoerus africanus (Common warthog), 334 nucleotides. RefSeq lists it as uncharacterized. NCBI's taxonomy places the organism in Eukaryota, Metazoa, Chordata, Mammalia, Artiodactyla, Suidae. The record is from RefSeq and is a predicted model, not a curated record. The transcript is spliced from 3 exons.